GGGGGCGAAAGGGUUUCGACCGGGCACUGGAAUCUGGAGUUGCGCACCGAGGUUGUCAGGAGGCCUCGUAAAACACCUGGCAAAAACCAAACAUGCCAAACCGGCAUACGCAAUGGCGGCUUAACUGACCGCCACGCCGACGUUCGCCCCGCCUGCGGACGGACGCCCGGCGACAAGCUCGCAGGCUUAGCCGCAACGUCCUUCGGUCCGUAGGGCAGCGGUGAAGGCGGCAAAACCGCCCAAUCGGGCUGGUCGGUCCGGAUCCUGUCAGUCGGAGCCGGACCGACGAGAACCAAAUGACUGACUACGUGCGUAGAAGCUCCAAGGGAAGGUUCUCGGGACGCGGGUUCGAUUCCCGCCGCCUCCACCA
RNAcentral lists this transfer-messenger RNA (370 nucleotides) under Candidatus Brocadiia bacterium. It matches the Rfam family "transfer-messenger RNA". From Rfam's summary of the family: Bacterial tmRNA, also known as 10Sa RNA or SsrA, is named for its dual tRNA and mRNA-like properties. Its role is to liberate the mRNA from a stalled ribosome. To accomplish this part of the tmRNA is used as a reading frame that ends in a translation stop signal. The record is from RNAcentral. Lineage: Bacteria; Pseudomonadati; Planctomycetota; Candidatus Brocadiia.